AGUGAACGCUGGCGGUAGGCCUAACACAUGCAAGUCGAACGGCAGCACAGUAAGAGCUUGCUCUUACGGUUGGCGAGUGGCGGACGGGUGAGGAAUACAUCGUAAUCUACUUUUUCGUGGGUGAUAACGUAGGGAAACUUACGCUAAUACCUCAUACGACCUACGGGUGAAAGCAGUGGAUCUUCGGACCUUUCGCGAUUGAAUGAGCCGAUGUCGGAUUAGCUAGUUGGCGGGGUAAAGGCCCACCAAGGCGACGAUCCGUAGCUGGUCUGAGAGGAUGAUCAGCCACACUGGAACUGAGACACGGUCCAGACUCCUACGGGAGGCAGCAGUGGGGAAUAUUGGACAAUGGGCGAAAGCCUGAUCCAGCCAUACCGCGUGGGUGAAGAAGGCCUUCGGGUUGUAAAGCCCUUUUGUUGGGAAAGAAAAGCAGCAGGUUAAUACCCCGCUGUUCUGACGGUACCCAAAGAAUAAGCACCGGCUAACUUCGUG
Molecule: ribosomal RNA, 492 nt
Filed under: uncultured bacterium
Lineage: Bacteria
Description: partial 16S ribosomal RNA
Rfam family: Bacterial small subunit ribosomal RNA
Source: RNAcentral